This 67-nucleotide transfer RNA is filed under the name Heterotis niloticus (African bonytongue). RNAcentral describes it as "tRNA-Ser (AGY)". Lineage: Eukaryota; Metazoa; Chordata; Actinopteri; Osteoglossiformes; Osteoglossidae. The record is from RNAcentral.
AAGAGAGGCUGGCGCACUUAAGGACUGCUAAUCCCAAACUCCAUGGUUCAAGUCCAUGGCUCACUUG